GUGGACCUACGGGACGCAGCAGUGAGGAAUAUUGGUCAAUGGGCGCGAGCCUGAACCAGCCAAGUCGCGUGAGGGAAGACGGUCCUAUGGAUUGUAAACCUCUUUUGUCGGGGAGCAAAAGACGCCACGCGUGGCGUUCCGAGAGUACCCGAAGAAAAAGCAUCGGCUAACUCCGUGCUAGCAGCCGCGGUAAUACGGAGGAUGCGAGCGUUAUCCAGAUUUAUUGGGUUUAAAGGGUGCGCAGGCGGAAGAUCAAGUCA
Molecule: ribosomal RNA, 260 nt
Filed under: uncultured bacterium
Lineage: Bacteria
Description: partial 16S ribosomal RNA
Rfam family: Bacterial small subunit ribosomal RNA
Source: RNAcentral